UACAGAGGGGGCAAGCGUUGUUCGGAAUUACUGGGCGUAAAGGGCGCGUAGGCGGCCUCUUAAGUCGAACGUGAAAUCCCCGGGCUCAACCCGGGAACUGCGUCCGAUACUGGGGGGCUUGAAUCCGGGAGAGGGAUGUGGAAUUCCAGGUGUAGCGGUGAAAUUCGUAGAUAUUAGGAAGAACACCAGUGGCGAAGGCGGCCAACUGGCCCGAUACUGACGCUCAUGUGCGAAAGCGUGGGGAGCAAACAGG
This 253-nucleotide ribosomal RNA is filed under the name uncultured bacterium. Its description in RNAcentral is "partial 16S ribosomal RNA". It matches the Rfam family "Bacterial small subunit ribosomal RNA", at positions 524 to 776 of the family's 1533-position model. The record is from RNAcentral.